UCCGGCUUGACGCCGGCAGUCCCCCGAGAGUCCUCAGCUUUACCUGUUAGUAACACGGGGCAAGGGUUGCGCUCGUUGCGGGACUUAACCCAACAUCUCACGACACGAGCUGAUGACAGCCAUGCAGCACCUGUGCACCGGUCCCGAAGGAGGGCCGUAUUUCUACGGAUUUCCGGCGCAUGUCAAGCCCUGGUAAGGUUCUUCGCGUUGCAUCGAAUUAAACCACAUGCUCCGCUGCUUGUGCGGGCCCCCGUCAAUUCCUUUGAGUUUCGGUCUUGCGACCGUACUCCCCAGGCGGAGUGUUUCACGCGUUAGCUGGGCCCCUGAUCCACGUAGACCAAGGGCGAACACUCAUCGUUUACGGCAUGGACUAC
RNAcentral lists this unclassified non-coding RNA (374 nucleotides) under uncultured bacterium. Its description in RNAcentral is "contains 16S-23S intergenic spacer region". The record is from RNAcentral.